AUAUUCUUCCACAUGUCAAAGACUAGGGUUCAUUUGUCAUACAUUUUCUCUCUACCCAUUUCUGCAAAUUCUCAUCUCUCUCUCUCUCUCUCUCUCUCUCUCUCUCUCUCUCUCUCUGUGUGUUCUAAGAAAGGAAUAUAUCUCCUUUUCGAGUUUCUUGCCUGAGGUAAUAGAGAAUGAAUAAGACCCAUCGAGUCAUCUCCUGAACACAAACCCAAAAGGCCCCUCAAAAAGAGAAAUGAAAAAGAUGAGGAGCGGUGAGAGUACUCAGCUCACCAUCUCAAGCCCAUGUAACAAGAACAGGAAGGAACAAGAUGAAGAUUCUUAUGAAGAAGAAGAAGAAGAAGAGGAAGAGGUGGAGAUGUUCAAAGAUGGCCGAAGAAGCUCGAGCAACAGCACGGUCGACGAGAGCGGGAAGAACGACGGCAGUAAGGUCAAAGCUGGUGGAUCUGUGCGCAAAUACGUACGUUCGAAGAUGCCUCGGCUUCGAUGGACACCUGAUCUCCAUCUUUGCUUUCUUCAUGCUGUUGAAAGACUUGGAGGACAUGAGAGAGCAACUCCUAAGUUGGUUCUUCAAUUGAUGAACGUCAAGGGCCUUAGCAUCGCCCAUGUGAAGAGCCAUCUUCAGAUGUAUAGGAGCAAGAAGACAGACGACCCCAAUCAAGCUAUAAAGGACCACGGUUUUUUUGGUGAUGGCGGCGAUCAUCAUGUUUACAAUCUCAGCCAACUUCCCCUCCUACAAACAUUCAACCACAGGCCUUCUUCUUUAAGGUUCAUGGAUGCUUCUUGGAGAGGCAUGCACAACCCUAAUCAGCUCCCAGGUUCACCAGUGUUUGAAAGAUUCAAGAUUAGACAUAUUGUAGCUUCUGCAGCGGGAGAUAUUAAUUGUGGGAUCAACAAAAGAUUUGGACCGCCUAAUCGUGAUCCUAUCCAUGUGGGUCAUCCAUCUUUUGAUGGAGAAGCUGCUACGACCACUACCGCAGCUACCUGCGACCAUUAUCGAGAAGAUCACUCCAAAUCAUCAACACUUCAUAAAUCUUGGCAAAAAAUAAGCCAAGCUCAAGUUGCAACACCCAGCUCAACGGCAAAGGAACCUGAUCUCCUAAGGACGAUCGAAGACAUCAGAAGACGAGAACAAGCGACCAGAGCAUGUUUGUUCGACGAUGCGUGCGGGCUGUCAUCAGUUCAAGAAGAGAGAUCAAGAAGCGUCUUGAAAAGGAAGGGUUUGGACCAAAAUGCCGUCGUGGACUUGGACUUGUCGCUGAGAGUGGCGAGACCCAAGAAGGAAUAUAUGGAAAAUGGCAACAAUGCGGUCGACAGCGAUUUGUCUCUUUCUCUGUCUCCUUCUUCACGUUCAUUGUUCUCGAAGCUCAGCAGAUUGAAGGAGGAUAACGGUGAUGGUGGCGGGGAUUUGAAGAAGCAGGAUGCGAGUACUCUAGAUCUGACUUUGUGAAUGAGACAAUAUCUGAGUGAGAUCUUGAGCUACUCGUCUCUAGUAUUCUUUAUCAGUACUGGGACAUCCAUGAAUAGGGCAGUAUCUUCAUGUAGGAACCCCACAGAAGGCAAAUCUCCAAAUGGGAGAGAAAAUGUUUGGCGGAUUUCCGUCAAACCAAGCACUUCAUUAAGUUUUGCCUUCUUUCUGUUGUCCCCUCGCGACUUUAUCCGAACUGAAAACGUUCUCCCCAAUCUGCGUGUAAUUACAUAUGCAAAUCUCCUUCGCGCAAUCCCAAUGUUGCCGCGGUCG
Eucalyptus grandis is the source of this 1744-nucleotide RNA transcript. It is a transcript of the gene named myb family transcription factor EFM, with no coding region annotated. The transcript has 6 exons. The record is from RefSeq and is a predicted model, not a curated record. Lineage: Eukaryota; Viridiplantae; Streptophyta; Magnoliopsida; Myrtales; Myrtaceae.